CUGGUUCUGAAGCCACUUCAGUCACCUGUGAGGACUCCAACUCAUGUGUACCAUUUUCUGCUUCAUUUUCCACAUUAUUGGAACUACUUAAGCGCCCUUCUUCUGUUGGAUAUGCCUCAGAAGACUGAUUUUGUCCAGUUGGAAUUUCUUCUAGAGGGACCUCUGCAUGUUGGUUGUGCUUCGCAUUUAUAGAAUCUGGGGUACCUGGCUCCCUAACACCACUUUCCAUGAUUUUCUCUGAAGAUGAGCUGCAAGAUGGUUCUCUGUAAUCUACUACCUCUCUCUCCACUUCUUGUGCAACUUGCCGAGCAACUUCUAGAGCAUCAACCAUCCCAUAUUCAAGCUCAGCAUCAGAUCUCCUCCUGUCAAUUGGAUCAGGACUCUGGAUAUCCAUCUCUGGUUUAGAGAAAUCAGAAUCAUCUCUUAAAUCUUCAGCCCCAUCACUGCUUCGCUGCUGAUCAUCAUCCACUGCUANNNNNNNGCCACCAGUGAAAAAGGAGCUCCAACAUACUCAGUUUUCUCCAAUCUCCUGUCACCGUCAGAUGAGUCCUGCAGAUUUUCAGAACAAUCAUCUUUAGCAGAAGAAUCGAACAUCUGUGCAUUACUAUGAUCUAUAGAUCCCACAUCAUCUGUCCCAGCUUUUGGUGGAGAUACAGUUGUUCCUGCAUCACCAAGUGCAGUACUGUUUGGAAAAGAAUCACCCUCUUUGGCAUCAACAUUGUUUUNNNNNNNGCAGCUUCUGCCAAAACCUCUUUAGCACUGGCAGCAUCAGCACUAGAAGAACAAGCUCCAGGUUCCACCUUACUAGAGGGAGAAGCUACCAUACCUGAGUUGUCAGAGAAAAUUCCAAGCUUCUUUGAUGCAUCCCACUCCGGCUCAUUAUUUUGUCCCUUUGGAAUGGGAAAACUAUGAGUCUCGGUUGAAGCAGUUCCUUCAACAUUACCCCUUGAGGACUUUUCCUUCAAUUGAGGACUCUCUUCAACAGAGUUUGACAUUACAGAUGUACUAUGAGGAUCUGAAGUUCUAUCCUCCAGGUUUCCAUGAGCUUGAAUCUGCACAUCUUUAUCCCUUUCUGAUUGAAGACAAUUUGGACUUCUUGAUUGCAAAUUUCCAUCCCUGUCAGGUUCGGCUGUAUUAUUUUCUACAACAGCAUUUCCUUUUGAAAGAGGAACGUCUACAGCAGCAUAUUCUGCUCUAUUGUUCUCACUGGUGAGCACAUCGGCAUCACGAAAUGCCCCUGCACNNNNNACAUCAUGAUGAAUUGCAUCACUAACCCUAGCAUGCUUCCAGCUAUCAAACAGUGCCCUUGCUCUAUC
This 1316-nucleotide unclassified non-coding RNA is filed under the name Hevea brasiliensis (rubber tree). The record is from RNAcentral. Lineage: Eukaryota; Viridiplantae; Streptophyta; Magnoliopsida; Malpighiales; Euphorbiaceae.